UCCUCCGUGGCGCAAUUGGCUAGCGCGUCAGACUGUUAAUCUGGAGGCUGUAAGUUCGAUCCUUACCGGAGGAG
Molecule: transfer RNA, 74 nt
Filed under: Echria macrotheca
Lineage: Eukaryota; Fungi; Ascomycota; Sordariomycetes; Sordariales; Schizotheciaceae
Description: tRNA-Asn
Rfam family: tRNA
About the family: Transfer RNA (tRNA) molecules are approximately 80 nucleotides in length. Their secondary structure includes four short double-helical elements and three loops (D, anti-codon, and T loops). Further hydrogen bonds mediate the characteristic L-shaped molecular structure. tRNAs have two regions of fundamental functional importance: the anti-codon, which is responsible for specific mRNA codon recognition, and the 3' end, to which the tRNAs corresponding amino acid is attached (by aminoacyl-tRNA synthetases). tRNAs cope with the degeneracy of the genetic code in two manners: having more than one tRNA (with a specific anti-codon) for a particular amino acid; and 'wobble' base-pairing, i.e. permitting non-standard base-pairing at the 3rd anti-codon position.
Source: RNAcentral